RNAcentral lists this ribosomal RNA (424 nucleotides) under uncultured bacterium. RNAcentral's name for it is "partial 16S ribosomal RNA". It matches the Rfam family "Bacterial small subunit ribosomal RNA", at positions 360 to 776 of the family's 1533-position model. The record is from RNAcentral.
AAUAUUGGACAAUGGGCGAAAGCCUGAUCUAGCCAGGCCGCGUGUGUGAAGAAGGUAUUCGGAUUGUAAAGCACUUUAUGUUGGGAGGAAGGGUUGUAGGCUAAUACCCUCCAAUUCUGACGUUACCAAUUGAUUAAGCAUCCGCUCACUCCGUGCUCGCAGCCGCGGUAAUACUAAGGGUGCAAGCGUUAAUCGGAAUUACUGGGCGUAAAGCGCGCGUAGGUGGUUCGUUAAGUUGGAAGUGAAAGCCCCGGGCUUAACCUGGGAAUUGCUUUCAAAACUGACGAGCUAGAGUACGGUAGAGGGUAGUGGAAUUUCCUGUGUAGCGGUGAAAUGCGUAGAUAUAGGAAGGAACAUCAGUGGCGAAGGCGACUACCUGGACUGAUACUGACACUGAGGUGCGAAAGCGUGGGGAGCAAACAGG